This 1572-nucleotide ribosomal RNA is filed under the name Triticum aestivum (bread wheat). RNAcentral describes it as "partial small subunit ribosomal RNA". The record is from RNAcentral. Lineage: Eukaryota; Viridiplantae; Streptophyta; Magnoliopsida; Poales; Poaceae.
AUGAUUGUGCUCGUCAUGUUUUUGAUGGAAUGCUUGCCCAGAAGCAUAGUCUCAUGGAAUACCAUGAUUGCUGGAUAUACUCAGAGUGGAGAGGAUGUACAAGCUCUGAAGCUUUUUCAAAGGAUGCACCGAGAAGGGACACAACUGACUGAAUUUACUUUAUCCAGCACAAUCUGUGCAUGCGCUGCAAAAUAUGCUAUCAAUGAAUGCAAGCAAUUACACACUAUUGCAUUCAAGCUUGCAUUGGACUCAAACAGCUUUGUUGGGACAGCAAUUCUAGAUGUUUAUGCAAAAUGUAAUAUGAUUAAGGAUGCCUGCUGGGUUUUUGAGAAGAUGCCUGAUAAAACUUUAGUUGCAUGGAGUUCAUUGUUCGCAGGAUAUGUGCAGAAUGGUCUUCACAAAGAAGCAUUAUGUUUAUUUCGGAAUGCCCAAAGGGAAGGAGUAAAAUUGACGGAAUUCACUCUUUCUGCUAUCAUUAGCGCAUGUGCAAGCUUAGCAUUGAAAAUUGAAGGGACACAACUGCAUGCAGUUAUUGUGAAAUGUGGUUUUCAUGGGAACUUCUUGGCAGCAUCUCUUGUGGAUGUGUAUGCAAGGUGUGGCCAGAUUGAAAAAUCUUAUGCACUAUUUGCUUAUAUGGAACAGAAGAAUGUGGUCAUAUGGAAUGCAAUGAUUGGUGGUUUUUCGAGGCAUGCCCAUUCUUGGGAAGCUAUGAUUCUCUUUGAGAAAAUGCACCAGUUACGUAUUUUUCCAAACGAAGUUACCUAUCUAUCCAUGUUGUCACUGUGCAGUCAUGCAGGUUUAGUUGAAGAGGGUCGUCACUACUUUAACCUGCUAAUAUCUGAUCGGACUGUUGAACCUAAUGUCCUUCACUAUUCUUGCAUGGUUGAUGUUCUGGGUCGAUCUGGGAAGACUGAUGAGGCCUGGAAAUUGCUUCACAAAAUGCCAUUUGAGCCAACUGCUUCUAUGUGGGGAUCUUUGCUUGGGUCAUGCAGAAACUACAAUAAUAGUGACUUAGCCAGAAUAGCUGCCGAACAGCUUUUCCAACUUGAGCCUGACAAUGGAGGGAACCAUGUUUUGCUCUCAAAUGUAUAUGCUGCCAGCGGGAACUGGGAGAAUGUUCUGAUGGCAAGGAAAUAUUUGAAGGAUAGUGGUGCAAAGAAAGAAAUGGGCAGGAGUUGGAUUGAAGCAAAGGGCAAAAUUCAUGUCUUUGUUGUUGGAGAGAGAAAGCACCCAGCAAUCACUGAUAUCUACAAUAAGUUGGAGGAAAUUUAUCACGAUAUGAAAAAAAUUGCUCACAUAACCAAAAUAGAAUGUGAUCUGCAUGAUGUUCAUGACGACCAAAAAGAGGAUCUGCUUAAACAUCACAGUGAGAAGUUAGCACUUGCUUUUGGGUUAAUCAGCUUACCUCCUAAUAUACCAAUUAUAAUACACAAGAACCUUAGGAUAUGCGGGGACUGUCAUUCAUUCAUGAAGGUUGCAGCCCAUAUUACCAAACGUCUUUUCAUUGUCAGAGAUACCAAUAGAUUUCACCAUUUUAAGGAUGGCUCAUGUUCUUGUGGGGACUUUUGGUGA